AAAUGCGAUAAGUAAUGUGAAUUGCAGAAUUCAGCGAAUCAUCGAAUCUUUGAACGCACAUUGCGCCCGCCAGUAUUCUGGCGGGCAUGCCUGUCCGAGCGUCAUUUCAACCAUCAAGCCCCCGGGCUUGUGUUGGGGACCUGCGGCUGCCCGCAGGCCCUGAAAACCAGUGGCGGGCUCGCUGUCACACCGAGCGUAGUAGCAAUCACCUCGCUCAGGGCGUGCUGCGGGUUCCGGCCGUUAAACAGCCUUACAAAACCCAAGGUUGACCUCGGAUCAGGUAGGAAGACCCGCUGAACUUAAGC
RNAcentral lists this unclassified non-coding RNA (305 nucleotides) under plant metagenome. RNAcentral's name for it is "partial contains 5.8S ribosomal RNA, internal transcribed spacer 2, and large subunit ribosomal RNA". The stretch from base 1 to 104 matches the Rfam family "5.8S ribosomal RNA", at positions 51 to 154 of the family's 154-position model. The record is from RNAcentral.